RNAcentral lists this ribosomal RNA (497 nucleotides) under uncultured bacterium. Its description in RNAcentral is "partial 16S ribosomal RNA". It matches the Rfam family "Bacterial small subunit ribosomal RNA", at positions 28 to 507 of the family's 1533-position model. The record is from RNAcentral.
GAUGAACGCUGGCGGCGUGCCUAAUACAUGCAAGUCGAGCGAACAGAUAAGGAGCUUGCUCCUUUGACGUUAGCGGCGGACGGGUGAGUAACACGUGGGUAACCUACCUAUAAGACUGGGAUAACUUCGGGAAACCGGAGCUAAUACCGGAUAACAUUUUGAACCGCAUGGUUCUAAAGUGAAAGAUGGUUUUGCUAUCACUUAUAGAUGGACCCGCGCCGUAUUAGCUAGUUGGUAAGGUAACGGCUUACCAAGGCGACGAUACGUAGCCGACCUGAGAGGGUGAUCGGCCACACUGGAACUGAGACACGGUCCAGACUCCUACGGGAGGCAGCAGUAGGGAAUCUUCCGCAAUGGGCGAAAGCCUGACGGAGCAACGCCGCGUGAGUGAUGAAGGGUUUCGGCUCGUAAAACUCUGUUAUUAGGGAAGAACAAAUGUGUAAGUAACUGUGCACGUCUUGACGGUACCUAAUCAGAAAGCCACGGCUAACUACGUG